This 492-nucleotide ribosomal RNA is filed under the name uncultured bacterium. RNAcentral describes it as "partial 16S ribosomal RNA". It matches the Rfam family "Bacterial small subunit ribosomal RNA", at positions 29 to 507 of the family's 1533-position model. The record is from RNAcentral.
AGUGAACGCUGGCGGUAGGCCUAACACAUGCAAGUCGAACGGCAGCACAGUAAGAGCUUGCUCUUACGGGUGGCGAGUGGCGGACGGGUGAGGAAUACAUCGGAAUCUACUUUUUCGUGGGGGAUAACGUAGGGAAACUUACGCUAAUACCGCAUACGACCUACGGGUGAAAGCAGGGGAUCUUCGGACCUUGCGCGAUUGAAUGAGCCGAUGUCGGAUUAGCUAGUUGGCGGGGUAAAGGCCCACCAAGGCGACGGUCCGUAGCUGGUCUGAGAGGAUGACCAGCCACACUGGAACUGAGACACGGUCCAGACUCCUACGGGAGGCAGCAGUGGGGAAUAUUGGACAAUGGGCGCAAGCCUGAUCCAGCCAUACCGCGUGGGUGAAGAAGGCCUUCGGGUUGUAAAGCCCUUUUGUUGGGAAAGAAAAGCAGCAGGUUAAUACCCCGCUGUUCUGACGGUACCCAAAGAAUAAGCACCGGCUAACUUCGUG